Molecule: ribosomal RNA, 253 nt
Filed under: uncultured prokaryote
Description: partial 16S ribosomal RNA
Rfam family: Bacterial small subunit ribosomal RNA
Source: RNAcentral
ACGGAGGGUGCGAGCGUUGUCCGGAAUCACUGGGCGUAAAGGGCGCGUAGGCGGUUCGUUAAGUCGUUGGUGAAAUCCCGGGGCUCAACUCCGGGGCGGCCGGCGAGACUGGCGGGCUCGAGCACGGUAGAGGCAGAUGGAAUUCCCGGUGUAGCGGUGGAAUGCGUAGAUAUCUGGAGGAACACCGGUGGCGAAGGCGGCAUCCUGGACCGGCAUUGACGCUGAGGCGCGAAAGCCAGGGGAGCAAACGGGA